GGUGAUGGUGGGGCAGCGGGCGGGUGAAGACGGGGGGGGCGGGUGGUGUGUGGAGUUAUUGGGCGGAAAGCGCGGUUAGGAGGGUUUGCAAGUCGGGGGGGAAAGCCCGCAGCUCAAGUGAGGAAGGGCGCCCGAAACGGCAGAGGUUGAGUACCGGAGAGGAUGGCGGAAUUCCCCAAGUAGAGGUGAAAUUCGUAGAUAUGGGGAGGAACACCGGUGGCGAAGGCGGCCAUCUGGACGGAUACUGACGCUGAGACGCGAAAGCGUGGGGAGCAAACAGGAUUAGAUACCCUGGUAGUC
Molecule: ribosomal RNA, 300 nt
Filed under: uncultured Methanomassiliicoccus sp.
Lineage: Archaea; Methanobacteriati; Thermoplasmatota; Thermoplasmata; Methanomassiliicoccales; Methanomassiliicoccaceae
Description: partial 16S ribosomal RNA
Rfam family: Bacterial small subunit ribosomal RNA (bases 52-300)
Source: RNAcentral